UUUUUAUGGAGAGUUUGAUCCUGGCUCAGGAUGAACGCUGGCGGCGUGCCUAAUACAUGCAAGUCGAGCGAACAGACGAGGAGCUUGCUCCUCUGACGUUAGCGGCGGACGGGUGAGUAACACGUGGAUAACCUACCUAUAAGACUGGGAUAACUUCGGGAAACCGGAGCUAAUACCGGAUAAUAUAUUGAACCGCAUGGUUCAAUAGUGAAAGACGGUUUUGCUGUCACUUAUAGAUGGAUCCGCGCCGCAUUAGCUAGUUGGUAAGGUAACGGCUUACCAAGGCAACGAUGCGUAGCCGACCUGAGAGGGUGAUCGGCCACACUGGAACUGAGACACGGUCCAGACUCCUACGGGAGGCAGCAGUAGGGAAUCUUCCGCAAUGGGCGAAAGCCUGACGGAGCAACGCC
RNAcentral lists this ribosomal RNA (410 nucleotides) under Staphylococcus epidermidis NIHLM057. Its description in RNAcentral is "bacterial SSU rRNA". It matches the Rfam family "Bacterial small subunit ribosomal RNA", at positions 1 to 398 of the family's 1533-position model. Lineage: Bacteria; Bacillati; Bacillota; Bacilli; Caryophanales; Staphylococcaceae. The record is from RNAcentral.